UGGGGAAUAUUGGACAAUGGGCGAAAGCCUGAUCCAGCCAUGCCGCGUGUGUGAAGAAGGUCUUCGGAUUGUAAAGCACUUUAAGUUGGGAGGAAGGGCAGUUACCUAAUACGUGAUUGUUUUGACGUUACCGACAGAAUAAGCACCGGCUAACUCUGUGCCAGCAGCCGCGGUAAUACAGAGGGUGCAAGCGUUAAUCGGAAUUACUGGGCGUAAAGCGCGCGUAGGUGGUUAGUUAAGUUGGAUGUGAAAUCCCCGGGCUCAACCUGGGAACUGCAUUCAAAACUGACAAGCUAGAGUAUGGUAGAGGGUGGUGGAAUUUCCUGUGUAGCGGUGAAAUGCGUAGAUAUAGGAAGGAACACCAGUGGCGAAGGCGACCACCUGGACUGAUACUGACACUGAGGUGCGAAAGCGUGGGGAGCAAACAGGAUUAGAUACCCCGGUAGUCCCUGAGCGGGCUGGCAAGGCGCAU
This 472-nucleotide ribosomal RNA is filed under the name uncultured bacterium. Its description in RNAcentral is "bacterial SSU rRNA". It matches the Rfam family "Bacterial small subunit ribosomal RNA", at positions 355 to 825 of the family's 1533-position model. The record is from RNAcentral.